AGAGAAACCCUAGAUUGAGUGGGUGCGAGAGACGCUGUUGUUCAAUGGCAGAGCACUUGGCAUCUAUAUUCGGGACAGAGAAGGAUCGCGUCAACUGUCCGUUCUACUUCAAGAUCGGAGCUUGCAGGCAUGGAGAUCGAUGCUCCAGGCUUCACACCAAGCCCAGCAUCAGCCCCACCCUCCUCCUUUCCAACAUGUACCAAAGGCCUGAUAUGGUCACCCCUGGCGUCGAUCCUCAGGGCCAACCUCUCGAUCCUCGCAAAAUCCAAGAGCACUUCGAGGAUUUUUAUGAAGAUUUAUUUGAGGAGCUGAGUAAGUAUGGAGAGAUCGAAAGCUUGAACAUCUGUGACAAUUUGGCUGACCAUAUGGUGGGUAAUGUAUAUGUUCAGUUUAGAGAGGAAGAACAUGCUGCAAAUGCACUUCGAAAUUUGAAUGGAAGGUUUUAUGCAGGGCGUCCCAUCAUUGUUGACUUCUCCCCAGUUACGGAUUUCCGUGAAGCUACAUGUAGGCAAUAUGAGGAAAAUAUAUGCAAUCGCGGCGGCUACUGCAACUUUAUGCAUCUGAAAAAGAUUAGUAGGGAGUUGAGGAGGCAAUUGUUUGGGAGAAACAGGCGUAGGCGCAGUCGAAGCAGAAGCCACAGUCCAUACAGACACCGUGGUCAUGAGGAGCAUCCACAUGGUCCUCAUGGUCCACAUGGUCCACAUGGUCCACGUGGUCCACGUGGCUCUAAUAGAAGAGAUGAUGACAGAGAUCAUCGUUACCAUGAUAGGGGGGGUAGGAGGCCUAGAAGCAGAAGUCCUGCACGUAGAGGAGGACGAAGCAGAAGCCCUGGUGGAAGAAGGAAUAAGAGUCCAGUCAGGGAAGGCAGUGCUGAGAGAAGGGCUAAGAUUGAGCAAUGGAAUAGGGAAAGAGAACAGGCAGAAGCUACUAAUAAGAAUGAUAAUAGCCACAGUGACAAUGGUAACAACAACAAUGACUUUGAACAAGAUGAUCAACAGUAUUAUAAUCCACAGCAUCAGGAGGAGGACCAGCAGCAGCAGCAGCAGCAUGGAGGAUACAACUAUUGAUCCAAUUGGAACUGUCUGGUGGAGUACAGGUUCACUGUCCUGUGAUAUUGAAAGUUGGUUGGCUGAUGUUGUCUGCAGAGCAAGUUUACAGGAUUUAAUGUUUUACAUGGCGAAGAAUUGGAGAAGCUGCUGAACCUCCUGAACAAGAAAAAUACUCAACAUCUUUGUGAUUGCUUGUUGAGGUCUGUUGAAGUUAACCUAUAGAGCGAGGACAAACAGUUUGGAACCUAAAUAGCAAGUUUGCUUUUAUCAAAGCUUCACCCAGUUGUUUUAUUUCCUUUUUUUGGAUUAUGUUUUUGUGAUGACAUUAUCAGGCAUUUUCAGUGGCAUUUCAAGUACUUUCUGGGGUCUUUCUGCUUCUCCCGGGCUGGUUCAAAAUUGCAUUAUUAGAAAAUGAAUCAGUAUACUUGCUGGACCUUCUGGUUAAAGUCUAUUUUUUA
Vitis riparia (riverbank grape) is the source of this 1507-nucleotide RNA transcript. It is a transcript of the gene named splicing factor U2af small subunit B-like, with no coding region annotated. The transcript is spliced from 7 exons. Lineage: Eukaryota; Viridiplantae; Streptophyta; Magnoliopsida; Vitales; Vitaceae. The record is from RefSeq and is a predicted model, not a curated record.